UCGGGUUAAAUUUUUGCGAUA
This 21-nucleotide non-coding RNA is filed under the name Caenorhabditis elegans. Lineage: Eukaryota; Metazoa; Nematoda; Chromadorea; Rhabditida; Rhabditidae. The record is from RNAcentral.